UGGAGUGGUGUCCGUUGUCAUGACUUGCUAGAGAGUGAUGGAACCACGCAAAAUCCGUUGCAGAGAGUGGAGUAGGGUAGUGGCCAUUGUCGUGACUUGCCAGAGAGUUUGGAUUUAUCAGCUGGAGCUUGACUGGGAUGUCUGAUGAAGUGGAAUGACUCUCUAUCCCGUCGAUCUAGGAGAAGCUCGGAUGUUUUCGAGGUUGCUGACGCGUCUACUAUUAUCAGAUGCCUCAGAUGCUGAUGCUAUAGG
Molecule: long non-coding RNA, 252 nt
Filed under: Elaeis guineensis (African oil palm)
Lineage: Eukaryota; Viridiplantae; Streptophyta; Magnoliopsida; Arecales; Arecaceae
Description: long non-coding RNA (EGUI_LNC053887)
Source: RNAcentral